Long non-coding RNA from Bufo bufo (common toad), 364 nucleotides. RefSeq lists it as uncharacterized. The record is from RefSeq and is a predicted model, not a curated record. The transcript has 2 exons. NCBI's taxonomy places the organism in Eukaryota, Metazoa, Chordata, Amphibia, Anura, Bufonidae.
CUGCACCAGGCACAGAAGCUAAAAUUUGGCUUCGGAAACAUUCUUCUAUCCGAGUCUGCCAGGAUGUGGAACGUGCUCGGCGAUGGGGGUCAAGGACAGGAGAUUGCUGGAAUCCGCAUCCACGAGACGAUUGCUUCAAUUAGCUUUUGUUUUGUGUUCAAAAUCCACAGAUAAAUGUGUAACAUCCCAGCAAACAAAACCAAGUGAUAACGCGGCGGCCACGUUGGAAAACAGUCUUUACUGCAGACAGAAAAAAACUAAUGAAGCAAAUGAACUAAUUAUUGGAGAAGCUUCUAGACUGAACAGUAAAUUCAUUUCCAGGAAUUAUUCUUUUUUUUUAAUUUAAUACAGUUUUAAACUUUCA